AUUGAACGCUGGCGGCAUGCCUUACACAUGCAAGUCGAACGGUAACGGGUCUUCGGAUGCUGACGAGUGGCGAACGGGUGAGUAAUACAUCGGAACGUGCCUAGUAGUGGGGGAUAACUACUCGAAAGAGUGGCUAAUACCGCAUGAGAUCUACGGAUGAAAGCAGGGGAUCGCAAGACCUUGUGCUACUAGAGCGGCCGAUGGCAGAUUAGGUAGUUGGUGGGAUAAAAGCUUACCAAGCCGACGAUCUGUAGCUGGUCUGAGAGGACGAUCAGCCACACUGGGACUGAGACACUGCCCAGACUCCUACGGGAGGCAGCAGUGGGGAAUUUCGGACAAUGGGCGCAAGCCUGAUCCAGCAAUGCCGCGUGCAGGAUGAAGGCCUUCGGGUUGUAAACUGCUUUUGUACGGAACGAAAAGCCCUGGGUUAAUACCCUGGGGUCAUGACGGUACCGUAAGAAUAAGCACCGGCUAACUACGUGCCAGCCGCCGCCGUAA
Molecule: ribosomal RNA, 498 nt
Filed under: uncultured bacterium
Lineage: Bacteria
Description: partial 16S ribosomal RNA
Rfam family: Bacterial small subunit ribosomal RNA
Source: RNAcentral